RNAcentral lists this ribosomal RNA (497 nucleotides) under uncultured bacterium. RNAcentral describes it as "partial 16S ribosomal RNA". It matches the Rfam family "Bacterial small subunit ribosomal RNA", at positions 28 to 507 of the family's 1533-position model. The record is from RNAcentral.
GACGAACGCUGGCGGCGUGCCUAAUACAUGCAAGUUGAGCGCUGAAGGUUGGUGCUUGUCCCAAUUUGAAGAGCAGCGAACGGGUGAGUAACGCGUGGGGAAUCUGCCUUUGAGCGGGGGACAACAUUUGGAAACGAAUGCUAAUACCGCAUAACAACUUUAAACACAAGUUUUAAGUUUGAAAGAUGCAAUUGCAUCACUCAAAGAUGAUCCCGCGUUGUAUUAGCUAGUUGGUGAGGUAAAGGCUCACCAAGGCGAUGAUACAUAGCCGACCUGAGAGGGUGAUCGGCCACAUUGGGACUGAGACACGGCCCAAACUCCUACGGGAGGCAGCAGUAGGGAAUCUUCGGCAAUGGACGAAAGUCUGACCGAGCAACGCCGCGUGAGGGAAGAAGGGUUUCGGAUCGUAAAACUCUGUUGGUAGAGAAGAACGUUGGUGAGAGUGGAAAGCUCAUCAAGUGACGGUAACUACCCAGAAAGGGACGGCUAACUACGUG